UGCAGUCGGACGGCAGCGCGGGGCACCUGGCGGCGAGUGGCGAACGGGUGAGUAAUAUAUCGGAACGUACCCAGAAGUGGGGGAUAACGUAGCGAAAGUUACGCUAAUACCGCAUACGAUCUACGGAUGAAAGUGGGGGACCUUCGGGCCUCAUGCUUGUGGAGCGGCCGAUAUCUGAUUAGCUAGUUGGUAGGGUAAAGGCCUACCAAGGCGACGAUCAGUAGCUGGUCUGAGAGGACGACCAGCCACACUGGGACUGAGACACGGCCCAGACUCCUACGGGAGGCAGCAGUGGGGAAUUUUGGACAAUGGGCGCAAGCCUGAUCCAGCAAUGCCGCGUGAGUGAAGAAGGCCUUCGGGUUGUAAAGCUCUUUUGUCAGGGAAGAAACGGCGAUUUCUAAUAAAGAUUGCUAAUGACGGUACCUGAAGAAUAAGCACCGGCUAACUACGUGCCAGCAGCCGCGGUAAUACGUAGGGUGCAAGCGUUAAUCGGAAUUACUGGGCGUAAAGCGUGCGCAGGCGGUUUUGUAAGUCUGUCGUGAAAGCCCCGGGCUCAACCUGGGAAUUGCGAUGGAGACUGCAAGGCUUGAAUCUGGCAGAGGGGGGUAGAAUUCCACGUGUAGCGGUGAAAUGCGUAG
RNAcentral lists this ribosomal RNA (638 nucleotides) under Janthinobacterium sp. RNAcentral describes it as "bacterial SSU rRNA". It matches the Rfam family "Bacterial small subunit ribosomal RNA", at positions 56 to 693 of the family's 1533-position model. Lineage: Bacteria; Pseudomonadati; Pseudomonadota; Betaproteobacteria; Burkholderiales; Oxalobacteraceae. The record is from RNAcentral.